UCUCUGGGACUCCGUCCUCCUACAGAACGAUAGGGGCAGACAGGUUAUUUGUCGAGGGACACACACAUCUUUUAAGAGAUGAGUCAGUCGUCGUCACCUACGUUAUGACUGUUGAAAGAAUGAUGAAAUGAAUAAAAUGAAUGAAUGGCUCCCGAAACUACCACUGAGGAGUUCCCGACCGUCGCUAAGUGACGUGAGACUUGUGAAGAACUCAAGCAUCCUACAAACAUUUAAUCUGAAUUUAAUGUGACAAGGGAUGUGACAGAUGGAUGUACGGAGCGAUGUGGGAAUACAUAAUGGGACGCGGAGUCCAUCAUGAGUUCAGAGAAAAGCUUCUGGACAUUGGAAUUGAGUCCUGAAGAAUGAGUUAGCAUCUGCGAGUGGUUAAAGGAAAAAAAGGUGCUGUGCAGAAGAAAAUGAGUGUAAGAAACGAUGUAUGUGGGAACCCUAAGUAAUUCAGUGCCCCUACACUGUCAAUCUAGGGCUGCAAACUCAAAUGUCUGCAUUAAAGGAAGCAACUAGGAAAAUCAACGCCCAGGAGAGCUGGGGCUGUUGAAAACUGCAGGAGGUAUUUCUGCUGAAAGUAGGGCCGACCCUAUUCAGCCAGCUCUUGUCAUUCCAGUUGAAGAGAGGCCAUUUGACAUUCUAGAGGUGGCAGCAUGCAAACAUUUAAAACCGUUGAGAGAAUACAGCACACCAGGGAGACUAUUAUUAUGACUAUCAGGAGGAUAAUACCAAGAGUUGAGACACCAGCGUCUGGUAGAAGGAAGACGAGCUGGGCGAUGGCCGCUAACCCUACCACCCCUCAUUGCCGGACUCCCCUCACCUUCUG
RNAcentral lists this long non-coding RNA (832 nucleotides) under Homo sapiens (human). RNAcentral's name for it is "HSALNT0314779". The record is from RNAcentral. Lineage: Eukaryota; Metazoa; Chordata; Mammalia; Primates; Hominidae.